CUGCCCCUGUCAGGGGGACAACCCGCCGAAAGGCGGGCUAAACCCGCGUACAUGCCACCGGGGCAUCCCGGAGGCAGGAAAGGCUUCGGCCGGACAGGGAUGGGCAUGCGGCGCAUUAGGCAGUAGGCGGGGUAACGGCCCACCUAACCGACGAUGCGUAGGGGUUCUGAGAGGAAGGUCCCCCACACUGGUACUGAGACACGGACCAGACUCCUACGGGAGGCAGCAGUGAGGAAUAUUGGUCAAUGGUCGGGAGACUGAACCAACCAAGCCGCGUGAGGGAUGAAGGUACAGAGUAUCGUAAACCUCUUUUGUCAGGGAACAAAGGCGGGGACGUGUCCCCGGAUGAGUGUACCUGAAGAAAAAGCAUCGGCUAACUCCGUGCCAGCAGCCGCGGUAAUACGGAGGAUGCGAGCGUUAUCCGGAUUUAUUGGGUUUAAAGGGUGCGCAGGCGGUCUGUUAAGUCAGCGGUCAAAGCCCGGGGCUCAACCCCGGCCCGCCGUUGAAACUGGCAGUCUCGAGUUGGAGAGAAGUAUGCGGAAUGCGCGGUGUAGCGGUGAAAUGCAUAGAUAUCGCGCAGAACUCCGAUUGCGAAGGCAGCAUGCCGGCUCCACACUGACGCUGAGGCACGAAAGCGUGGGUAUCGAACAGGAUUAGAUACCCUGGUAGUCCACGCAGUAAAC
This 683-nucleotide ribosomal RNA is filed under the name uncultured bacterium. RNAcentral describes it as "bacterial SSU rRNA". It matches the Rfam family "Bacterial small subunit ribosomal RNA", at positions 126 to 807 of the family's 1533-position model. The record is from RNAcentral.